GGGUCAGUAGGUUGGUCGUGCCACCGGUACGUACUGGUCUCACUGAUUCCUCCUUCCUGAAGAACCGUAAUGCCAUUAAUUUGGUGUUGCGGGGAAACAGGACUGUUACUUUGAAAAAAUUAGAGUGUUUAAAGCAAGCUAACGCUUGAAUACAUAGCAUGGAAUAAUGAAAUAGGGCGAUCGAUCCUAUUUUGUUGGUUUCUAGGAUUGACGUA
Molecule: ribosomal RNA, 215 nt
Filed under: Glomeromycotina sp.
Lineage: Eukaryota; Fungi; Glomeromycota
Description: partial small subunit ribosomal RNA
Rfam family: Eukaryotic small subunit ribosomal RNA (bases 40-215)
Source: RNAcentral